GACGAACGCUGGCGGCGUGCCUAAUACAUGCAAGUCGAGCGCAGGAAACUGACGGAACUCUUCGGAGGGAAGGCAGUGGAAUGAGCGGCGGACGGGUGAGUAACACGUAAGGAACCUGCCUCAAGGAUUGGGAUAACUCCGAGAAAUCGGAGCUAAUACCGGAUAGUUCAUCGGACCGCAUGGUCCGCUGAUGAAAGGCGCUCCGGCGUCACCUUGAGAUGGCCUUGUGGUGCAUUAGCUAGUUGGUGGGGUAACGGCCCACCAAGGCGACGAUGCAUAGCCGACCUGAGAGGGUGAUCGGCCACACUGGGACUGAGACACGGCCCAGACGCCUACGGGAGGCAGCAGUAGGGAAUCUUCCACAAUGGACGAAAGUCUGAUGGAGCAACGCCGCGUGAGUGAUGAAGGUUUUCGGAUCGUAAAACUCUGUUGUAAGGGAAGAACACGUACGAGAGGGAAUGCUCGUACCUUGACGGUACCUUACGAGAAAGCCACGGCUAACUACGUGCCAGCAGCCGCCGUAA
RNAcentral lists this ribosomal RNA (524 nucleotides) under uncultured bacterium. Its description in RNAcentral is "partial 16S ribosomal RNA". It matches the Rfam family "Bacterial small subunit ribosomal RNA", at positions 28 to 523 of the family's 1533-position model. The record is from RNAcentral.